ACAAUUUACCACUACAGUGGUCCCCGACAACAUGUGAAUGGUUAGGAUCCUGCGAUACCUCUUCGGAAUCACUGCAGACCGUUGGAUCUUCAUAACUCUGCUUCCUCCCGUUCGCACAUCAUCUUCAGACUUCAAACUGCAUCUUCAGGUUUUCAGACUUAGAAUAUUUCUGAAAUCUCAGAAUUCCUCUCAAUCCUGACAUUACCUUCCCCUCAAGACAAUCCUUGUCCUCAAGGAUUAAACGAUGGAAACAUUGCUUGAAUGACUGAUGCGUCUUCCCAUGUGGCUUCAGCAGGAGACAAAUUCUGCCAUAAUAUCAACCAUUGAGUCACAGCAACUCCUUUCCUGGGUACCAUUCUCCUCUGUAGAACUGCUAGUGGUUCUGUUUUAAUCUGCCCAUCUGGUCCUACUGAGGGUAAAUUGGACAUGGGAAUAGCAUGCUUCCCCAGAUGCUUCUUGAGCUGACUAACAUGGAACACAGGGUGGAUCUGAGCAUCAUCAGGUAACUGAAGCUUAUAAGCUAAUUGGCCAAUCUUCUGAAGAACCUUGAAUGGUCCAUAAAACUUGGAUCUUAGCUUGAGAGACCCUCUGAUCCCAAAUGCAGACUGUCUAUAGGGUUUCAAUUUUAAAUAUACCAUAUCCCCAACUUCUAAGUUUCUUUCAGUUCUAUUUUUAUCUGCAAAAUACUUCAUUCGGUGUUGAGCAUCAGCCAAACUAUUCUUGAGUUUGUUCAGUAUUGCUUCCUUUUCUUCAAUAGUCACCCUAGCUUCUUCUGAUAUGUUACAUGGCACUGAAAAUUCAUUGAUUUGUGGGGGAGAAUAACCAUACAUUGCUUUGAACGGAGUCAUCUGAAUUGCGGUGUGGAAAGUGGUGUUAUACCACCACUCAGCUAGUGCCAGCCAUGAAUACCAUUUGUGAGGUUCUUGGAACGUCAUAUUUCUAAGGUAGGACUCCAGGCAUUGAUUGACUCUUUCAGUUUGUCCAUCCAUUUGUGGGUGAUAAGCAGUACUAAAUCUCAGCUUGACCUUCAUUGCUUUGAAAAUCUCCUGAAACAGACUGCUAGUAAAAAUCCGGUCCCUGUCAGUGAUGAUGACCAUCGGCAUACCAUGCAGUUUGUGAAUAUUGUUCAUGAACGCCUCUACCACCUGCUCCACAUCAUAUGGAUGGGCUAAUGCUAUGAAAUGAGCAUAUUUGGUCAGACGAUCCACCACUACCAGAAUAACAUCUUUCCCUUGUGAUUUUGGUAGCCCCUCUAUAAAGUCCAUAGUAAUAUGAGUCCAUGCCAUAUCUGGUAUUUCUAAUGGAUUGAGCAACCCAGGAAUGUGAACAUGUUCAGACUUAGUGAUCUGGCAAGUAGGACACUCUCUUAUGAAUCUUUCAACUUCCCCUCUCAUCCCAUGCCAAUAAAACAACAUUUUGAUUCGGUGGUGGGUUGCUCUCAUACCUGAGUGACCCCCAAAAGAAGAUGAAUGAUAGGUUGUGAUCAAUUGCCUUCUGAUAUCCGUGGCUUCUCCCACAUAGAUCCUCCCUUUGUAUUUUAGCAAUCCUGCUUCAAGCUUAUAUUCUCUAUCUGGAUCUGCUGCAGUACCAAUCAAACUGAGAAUUUUGUGUGCUUGUACAUCAUUUUCAUAGCUCCUCUGAAUAUCCACAAUCCACUCAGGUAUCACCACAGUCAUUGGGUGACACCUGUCUGCAACAGCUUCCUUUUGUGGUAGCCUGGACAGAGCAUCAGCCACUAAAUUUUCUUUUCCAGAUUUAUACUCUAUGGUAUAAUCAUACUCCAUCAAUUUUAGCAACAAUUUGUGUUGUAUCCCCUCUACCAAUCUCUGACCCAUCAUGAAUUUCAAACUUUGCUGGUCAGUCUUAAUGAUCAAUUUACUGCCCAACACAUAGUGCCUCCACUUUUUAAGAGCUUCAAGAAUAGCCAUAGCCUCCUUCUCAUAUAUGGAUUGCCCAGCUGCCUUGGGUCCCAAAGCCUUACUGAAAAAUGCAAUGGGUCGCCCUCCCUGCAUUAGUACUGCCCCAAUGCCGACUCCACAAGCAUCUGCUUCUAUGGUGAAUGCUUGAUCAAAGUCUGGCAAAGCCAAGACAGGGCUGGUUCUCAGCUUAUGCUUUAGAGUCUCAAAAGCUGUGGUCUGAUCUGCUCCCCAUUGAAACCCAUUCUUUUUCAGCAUGUCAUGAAUAGGUCUACAAAUGGUACCAUAGCCUUGAAUGAACCUUCGGUAGUAUCCUGUCAUCCCCAGGAAUUUCCUUACAUCAGUGACAUCCUUGGGUGUGGGCCAAUUUUUAAUUUUCCCCACCUUCUUGGGAUCUGUAGCCACCCCAUCCUGAGAGAUUACAUGUCCUAGGUAAGACACACUUGCAAGUCCAAAAGCACACUUUUUAAGCUUGAUUACAAGAUGGUUGUCUUGCAAAGCUUGCAUUACUAACUUCACAUGCUCCAGAUGCUCUGCCCUUGUUUUGCUAUAGAUUAAUAUGUCAUCGAAAAACACCAACACAAAUCUUCUUAAGAAUGGUGCUAGGACAUGAUUCAUAAGUGACUGGAAAGUGGCAGGGUCAUUUGUCAAACCGAAUGGCAUUACUUGAUAUUCAUAAUGCCCAAGAUGUGUUCUAAAUGCUGUUUUAUGAACAUCCUUCUCAGCCAUCCUAAUUUGGUGAUACCCUGACCGAAGGUCUAGUUUAGAGAAUAUCCUUGCUCCAUUUAAUUCAUCUAACAAGUCUUCAAUGAUUGGCAUUGGGAAUUUGUUCUUAACAGUCUGUGCAUUCAAUUGUCGGUAAUCGACACACAUCCUCCAAGAUCCAUCUUUCUUGCGAACCAUCACAGCAGGAGAUGAAUAGGGACUAUCACUAGUUUGAAUCUCCUUAGAUUCAAUCAGCUCAUUGAUAAUAUUUUCCAUCGCUUCCUUCUGAUAAUGUGGCACUCUGUAUGGCCUGAUGUUAGGUGGUACAGCCCCACUCUGUAAAUUAAUCACAUGGUCACAUUCUCGCUUAGGUGGUAGCCCCUUUGGUUCUUUAAGCACAGCUGGAAAUUGUUGUAUAAUGUCACUAAUGUCUUCAGGUAUAACAUGCCCUUCUUCCUCCACAGUUUCAGACAUGACAUUGACUUGUAUCACCAUACCAAGAGCCCCCUUCUUUAACAUUUUCUCCAAUCUUUUACCACUGAUCUGAAAGUGCUUAUUUGGUUUAGUGAAAUCUUGUAAGAGUAUUACUUUGUUUCCCUUUGUAAUUCCCAAAAUUCUUUGCUUCAAAUCCAGCGAAAUGGGACUAUAAUUAUAGAUCCAAUCAGCACCCAAGAUAAUAUCAUAUCCCUUGAGAGGAAGCAACUUAAAUUGGUUAGUAAAGCAUUCUCCUUGAAUCUCAUAGCUGAUGUCUGGCACCAUGACAUCAGUCUUAAGUUCUCCACCACCAGCAACUACUACUUUCUUUGUGUCAGUAUUUUUCAAGGGAUAGUAAUUCCUAAGGGCAUAAUCCUGAUCCAUGAAUGUGGUGGUACUCCCACUAUCAACCAACCCUACAGCUGUCCGGCCAUUGAUUUUGAUUAAUACUGAGAAUGUAUCUGGCCUGGAUGUACCCUGUACUGCAGUUUGAGAAAUGUACAUCAACUCUUCGGUUGGGGACUCAUUUUCUGAAGUUGCAGAUUCUUCAGUUUCUUUCUUCUCUUCCUCAUCACCCCCAGUAUUACUUGUUUCUUUAUCUUCUUGCCCAUCAUCUUCUUCUAACAAAGCGUGAAUUGCUUGUUUAAUCUUACACUGGUGCCUUGGAAACCAAGGUUCUUUACAGAACCAGCACUUCUUUUCCUCUCUCCUAUCUCCCUCACCUCUGUUUUGUCCCCUAUGGUUAGCAUUCCGCCCCUGAUUACCUCCAAGUGGAUUCUGAUUCCUGUUUCGGUUGAAAUUUCCCACCAUUUUUCUGGCAUUAGCAGCCCUUUCAUAAUUUUUUUGCAUACCAGUAAGUUUCAAGCAAGCCUUGAGGUUUCUGACCACACACAUCGUAUUUAAUAUCUGCUCUCAAUCCCCCAAUGAAACAGCUGGUCAGAUAUUGCUCCUGGAGAUAAGGGUGGUCUCUCUUUACUAAAUCCACAUAAUCCUCAAACUUGUCAAUAUAUUGCUCCACUGUUGUUCCAAAUUGUUUCACAUUUUGGAACAACUCAAUUGCCUCAUGUUCACUCGCAGCAGAAAAUCGAGUACAGACCAUGCUGCACCAUUGUGGCCAAGCUAUCACUUGCCAUGGCAGACCAAUUCCUCCGAACCAUUUCAAUGCCCUGCCAUUCAAAUGAGCCACCGCUAAAUUCACCCAUUGAUCCAGAGGGGUACCCGUAAUCUCAAAAAACUUCUCACACUGCUUAAGCCAAUCUAUUGGAUCUUCUCCACUGAACAGAGGGAUUUCUAAUCUUGGCCCCUUGAGGACAGCCUCAGCGUACUGAUUCCCUUCUCCUGCCUGACCCAGAUAAAUGUUCCUCUGUUGGUCCAACAUCCUCACUCCUGCACGAUUUUGGACAAAGUCUGCAUGUCCACCAACCCUAUUCCCAUUAGGCUGAAAAGCUGGAAUGUGCCCCCGGGUAUUUCAAAUGCGAGCUGUGGUCGAGUAGCAGUUACUAUAGAGGAGGUAAACAUCUCAUUGGUUCGAUUAGCAGCAAACUGAUUCUCAUGCCCUGGCUGUGUGGGAUGCCCUUGUACUGUCAUCAUAGGCAUCGUAGGUGCAACUGAAUGCAUAUUCAUAGGCAUCGAGGGGUUCACAGUAUUAGCUUCAAUAUGGAAUUGGGAUUCAGUCACAGGUGGGUUACCUUGCGCCUGAGAACUUGUCCCAGCCGCGUCUCCUCCUCCUUGCGAAGCUACUGCCUUGCUUGCCUUUGCAGUAGCAGCCGCUUCUUCUUCUUCUUCAGCCUCUUUUCUCUUGCACAAUUCCAGUAACAAUCCUUUAAUCUCUUUUACUUCCCCCUUCAGACCUUUGAGAUCGGCCACCUCCUUCUUCAGUGCCGCCAUAUCAACCCGGAAUUCGUUGAGCUCCUCCGUACCUAGUAGUCACCAUUCACACCACUGCUUAGGUCGGUUUAGGAUCUGACUCCCUCCCCUUUGUGCCUAAGUAGAACUGUCUACCGCCGCCUAACCCAGAUCACGAGCUCCGGAGAUUUUACAGGAACACACCGAAAGGUGGUUCACAAACCCUCGCUCCAGUAAUCUGUGUUUUCCUUCCGCUACCGGAUAAAAUCCACCAAGGCUUAGGGAUUUUACAAUGGAUCUCGCCGCCGCCUUCCACCAACCCUCACCCGAUGGAUUCCAGAGCCAAGGAUUGAACCUUGCUCUGAUACCUUUGUCAGGAUCAGAGCUGAAAACACCUGGAAAUGGACGCCUCUCUCUCUCCUUUGUUCGCUCGAAACAGAGUAAAUCGGGAAGAAAAUAGGUGGUCGCCGCAAGAACUCGUUUCUCCCAGAUCUACUUUACCCUACUCCUAAGAACAAAUGAUAAUGAGGUUUUUCUUAUCUCCCUCCUGGCCACAAGCCAAUAGUUUUAAUAGGAGUACAUAAGGAUUCCAAAGUGGUCUUUGCCACUGAACACACACACACCAAUUCAGAGAAAACAACAAUUUACCACUACAGUGGUCCCCGACAACAUGUGAAUGGUUAGGAUCCUGCGAUACCUCUUCGGAAUCACUGCAGACCGUUGGAUCUUCAUAACUCUGCUUCCUCCCGUUCGCACAUCAUCUUCAGACUUCAAACUGCAUCUUCAGGUUUUCAGACUUAGAAUAUUUCUGAAAUCUCAGAAUUCCUCUCAAUCCUGACAGGGGAGUUGAGUUAGGAUGGGGCAGGGAUGGUGGCGGAGGUGUCCAGCUAGCUCGGAUGGCCGGCGAGCUUGGCCGCGCAUGGAGGACAGAUGCAGAGGAGGCGCCUCAAGGGGAGGGGAUCGGGAGAAACGGCUCGCAGGCAUAGGCGUCAGGGAGGAGCGGCUUGGACUCAGGGAGAAUAGACCAUGCGAAAACCCAAUUUUGCCCUUCCACUUGUUUAACGCGUGCAUACGAAGGGGAGGUACCAUUGAGGGGAUUUUGGUACCUGGCAGUACUGAGCAUUGUCACCCGUUGGAUUUAGCGUGAUGGAUGGUCUAGAUAGUAGGUACCGGGCGGUACGAAAAGUUUAGAUGG
RNAcentral lists this long non-coding RNA (6135 nucleotides) under Oryza sativa (Asian cultivated rice). RNAcentral's name for it is "long non-coding RNA (OSAT_LNC000948)". The record is from RNAcentral. Lineage: Eukaryota; Viridiplantae; Streptophyta; Magnoliopsida; Poales; Poaceae.